Molecule: ribosomal RNA, 1715 nt
Filed under: Streptococcus pneumoniae
Lineage: Bacteria; Bacillati; Bacillota; Bacilli; Lactobacillales; Streptococcaceae
Description: bacterial SSU rRNA
Rfam family: Bacterial small subunit ribosomal RNA (bases 2-915)
Source: RNAcentral
AGAGUUUGAUCCUGGCUCAGGACGAACGCUGGCGGCGUGCCUAAUACAUGCAAGUAGAACGCUGAAGGAGGAGCUUGCUUCUCUGGAUGAGUUGCGAACGGGUGAGUAACGCGUAGGUAACCUGCCUGGUAGCGGGGGAUAACUAUUGGAAACGAUAGCUAAUACCGCAUAAGAGUGGAUGUUGCAUGACAUUUGCUUAAAAGGUGCACUUGCAUCACUACCAGAUGGACCUGCGUUGUAUUAGCUAGUUGGUGGGGUAAGGGCUCACCAAGGCGACGAUACAUAGCCGACCUGAGAGGGUGAUCGGCCACACUGGGACUGAGACACGGCCCAGACUCCUACGGGAGGCAGCAGUAGGGAAUCUUCGGCAAUGGACGGAAGUCUGACCGAGCAACGCCGCGUGAGUGAAGAAGGUUUUCGGAUCGUAAAGCUCUGUUGUAAGAGAAGAACGAGUGUGAGAGUGGAAAGUUCACACUGUGACGGUAUCUUACCAGAAAGGGACGGCUAACUACGUGCCAGCAGCCGCGGUAAUACGUAGGUCCCGAGCGUUGUCCGGAUUUAUUGGGCGUAAAGCGAGCGCAGGCGGUUAGAUAAGUCUGAAGUUAAAGGCUGUGGCUUAACCAUAGUAGGCUUUGGAAACUGUUUAACUUGAGUGCAAGAGGGGAGAGUGGAAUUCCAUGUGUAGCGGUGAAAUGCGUAGAUAUAUGGAGGAACACCGGUGGCGAAAGCGGCUCUCUGGCUUGUAACUGACGCUGAGGCUCGAAAGCGUGGGGAGCAAACAGGAUUAGAUACCCUGGUAGUCCACGCUGUAAACGAUGAGUGCUAGGUGUUAGACCCUUUCCGGGGNCUCCAGCAAAUUUCUUUCUGGGUCUACUAGGAUGUACCUUUUUAGGGUCUUCCAGGAAGUCUUUAGCCGUCGGUAAGAUUGGAUUGUCUAGGGGUUGAUUCAGGUUCAGUUUAGCUUGUUUUCUUACUCUCUUCUUUGUCUUUCUGUGAGACUUAGGAGAAAGGAUGUUUUUCUUAUAGAGUAUUUUUCUAACAGUUGUAUCAGAGAGCUUAAUUCCCUCUUCUUCAGCUAGUAAUUCACAGAAAUGAAGGACAUUUGGUUUAUAUGUUUCAUAGGAGAGGUAUUUCUUUAGGAUACGUUCUUUGAUUUCAUCAGGGAUUGCAUGUUUUGGUUUUCGAUUUCUGUUUCCGUGUCUGAAGGCUUCCUUUCCUUUCUGUUGAUAGGCUAGUAACAGACGAUUGAUUUGUCUUUCAGAAAGAUUGAGUUCGACACAGGCCCGUUUCUUUGUUUUCUUUCCUUGGGCUAUAGCUUUUAUCACAAGAUAUUUUUUCGUUUCAUUCAUAUUCAGUUGGAUCCUUUUCAUAUGACUAUUCUACCAAAUGGGACAUUUUCACGUUCGAUUUACUAAAGACAUUAUCACAUUCGAAUUACAUAUUUUAGAGAAAAAAUCUCAAAAGUGAUUGACAAUUAGCAAGAAAUUGAUAUAAUGGUUAUAUCUGCUACAGAUAGAAGGUCCGUUGGUCAAGGGGUUAAGACACCGCCUUUUCACGGCGGUAACACGGGUUCGAAUCCCGUACGGACUAUUUUAUCCGCCAUAGCUCAGUUGGUAGUAGCGCAUGACUGUUAAUCAUGAUGUCGUAGGUUCGAGUCCUACUGGCGGAGUAUAGAUAAAAGGGAACACAGCUGUGUUCCUCUUUUUGUAUCAAUU